CAGUGGGGAAUAUUGCACAAUGGGCGCAAGCCUGAUGCAGCCAUGCCGCGUGUGUGAAGAAGGCCUUCGGGUUGUAAAGCACUUUCAGUCGUGAGGAAGGUGGUAGUGUUAAUAGCACUAUCAUUUGACGUUAGCGACAGAAGAAGCACCGGCUAACUCCGUGCCAGCAGCCGCGGUAAUACGGAGGGUGCGAGCGUUAAUCGGAAUUACUGGGCGUAAAGCGCAUGCAGGUGGUUUGUUAAGUCAGAUGUGAAAGCCCGGGGCUCAACCUCGGAACUGCAUUUGAAACUGGCAGACUAGAGUACUGUAGAGGGGGGUAGAAUUUCAGGUGUAGCGGUGAAAUGCGUAGAGAUCUGAAGGAAUACCGGUGGCGAAGGCGGCCCCCUGGACAGAUACUGACACUCAGAUGCGAAAGCGUGGGGAGCAAACAGGAUUAGAUACCCUGGUAGUCCACGCUGUAAACGAUGUCUACUUGGAGGUUGUGGCCUUGAGCCGUGGCUUUCGGAGCUAACGCGUUAAGUAGA
Molecule: ribosomal RNA, 524 nt
Filed under: Vibrio vulnificus
Lineage: Bacteria; Pseudomonadati; Pseudomonadota; Gammaproteobacteria; Vibrionales; Vibrionaceae
Description: bacterial SSU rRNA
Rfam family: Bacterial small subunit ribosomal RNA
Source: RNAcentral